UCGGGAAUAUUGCGCAAUGGAGGAAACUCUGACGCAGUGAUGUCGCGUGCAGGAAGAAGGUUUUCGGAUUGUAAACUGCUUUAGACAGGGAAGAAAAAAGACAGUACCUGUAGAAUAAGCUCCGGCUAACUACGUGCCAGCAGCCGCGGUAAUACGUAGGGAGCAAGCGUUAUCCGGAUUUAUUGGGUGUAAAGGGUGCGUAGACGGGAAAUCAAGUUGGUUGUGAAAUCCCUCGGCUUAACUGAGGAACUGCAACCAAAACUAAUUUUCUUGAGUGCUGGAGAGGAAAGUGGAAUUCCUAGUGUAGCGGUGAAAUGCGUAGAUAUUAGGAGGAACACCAGUGGCGAAGGCGACUUUCUGGACAGUAACUGACGUUGAGGCACGAAAGUGUGGGGAGCAAACA
RNAcentral lists this ribosomal RNA (403 nucleotides) under uncultured bacterium. RNAcentral's name for it is "bacterial SSU rRNA". It matches the Rfam family "Bacterial small subunit ribosomal RNA", at positions 355 to 774 of the family's 1533-position model. The record is from RNAcentral.